RNAcentral lists this ribosomal RNA (255 nucleotides) under uncultured bacterium. RNAcentral's name for it is "partial 16S ribosomal RNA". It matches the Rfam family "Bacterial small subunit ribosomal RNA", at positions 57 to 305 of the family's 1533-position model. The record is from RNAcentral.
GCAAGUCGAACGAGAACGGAUUAAAGCUUGCUUUAAUUGUCAGCUAAGUGGCGCACGGGUGAGUAAUAUAUAGGUAACAUGCCUUCGAGAAGGGGAUAACGUUUGGAAACGAACGCUAAUACCCUAUAUGCCUUUAUCUCAAAAGAGAGCAAGGGAAAUAUUUAUAGCUCGAAGAUUGGCCUGUACAGUAUCAGUUAGUUGGUGAGGUAAUGGUUUACCAAGACAAUGACACCUAACUGGUUUGAGAGGAUGAUC